RNAcentral lists this ribosomal RNA (547 nucleotides) under uncultured bacterium. Its description in RNAcentral is "bacterial SSU rRNA". It matches the Rfam family "Bacterial small subunit ribosomal RNA", at positions 355 to 896 of the family's 1533-position model. The record is from RNAcentral.
UGGGGAAUAUUGCACAAUGGGGGGAACCCUGAUGCAGCCAUGCCGCGUGAAUGAAGAAGGCCUUCGGGUUGUAAAGUUCUUUCGGUGACGAGGAAGGUUGGUAGGUUAAUAGCCUAUCAAAUUGACGUUAAUCACAGAAGAAGCACCGGCUAACUCCGUGCCAGCAGCCGCGGUAAUACGGGGGGUGCGAGCGUUAAUCGGAAUAACUGGGCGUAAAGGGCACGCAGGCGGUGACUUAAGUGAGAUGUGAAAGCCCCGAGCUUAACCUGGGAAUUGCAUUUCAUACUGGGUCGCUAGAGUACUUUAGGGAGGGGUAGAAUUCCACGUGUAGCGGUGAAAUGCGUAGAGAUGUGGAGGAAUACCGAAGGCGAAGGCAGCCCCUUGGGAAUGUACUGACGCUCAUGUGCGAAAGCGUGGGGAGCAAACAGGAUUAGAUACCCUGGUAGUCCACGCUGUAAACGAUGUCGAUUUGGGGAUUGGGCUUUGAGCUUGGUGCCCGUAGCUAACGUGAUAAAUCGACCGCCUGGGGAGUACGGCCGCAAGGUUA